This is a long non-coding RNA of Protopterus annectens (West African lungfish), 385 nucleotides long. RefSeq lists it as uncharacterized. The transcript has 3 exons. The record is from RefSeq and is a predicted model, not a curated record. Lineage: Eukaryota; Metazoa; Chordata; Ceratodontiformes; Protopteridae.
UGCACUUUGGAUCCUGAUUGCAAUAACCAGGAAGUUAUUCUGUUAGCAACGCAAAGCAUGUUAUAUCAAUUUCAAGGUCUGCUAACAACAGUGAUUUUAAUAGUCCUAAUCAGAUCACGGGAAAUGAAUGUUAGUGCAAGUAGAAUUAAAUUCGCCUAAGACAACCGUUUCCUUUGCCGUACCCGUUGGAACCAAACAAUUAACUUUUGUUCACUUUUGAUGCUGCAAAAGUUAGAACAGUGAGACAUGAAGAUUCAAGAUAAGAUCACGAUUCUGGAAUAUUUUCUCAAUAUUUUUAAUGGACUUUUCCUGGUUACAGGGCUCAUCAUCUUGGCGUCUGGGAUAUGGAUUUUAUUUGACACCAACAGUUUUAUCACAGCCGUAU